GCAUGGGCGCGGGAUUGUGCCAGCAGCCGCGGUAAUACGUAGGGUGCGAGCGUUGUCCGGAAUUACUGGGCGUAAAGAGCUCGUAGGUGGUUUGUCGCGUUGUUCGUGAAAUCUCACGGCUUAACUGUGAGCGUGCGGGCGAUACGGGCAGACUAGAGUACUGCAGGGGAGACUGGAAUUCCUGGUGUAGCGGUGGAUGCGCAGAUAUCAGGAGGAACACCGGUGGCGAAGGCGGGUCUCUGGGCAGUAACUGACGCUGAGGAGCGAAAGCGUGGGGAGCGAACAGGAUUAGAUACCCUGGUAGUCCACGCCGUAAACGGUGGGUACUAGGUGUGGGUUUCCUUCCUUGGGAUCCGUGCCGUAGCUAACGCAUUAAGUACCCCGCCUGGGGAGUACGGCCGCAAGGCUAAAACUCAAAGGAAUUGACGG
Molecule: ribosomal RNA, 429 nt
Filed under: uncultured organism
Description: SSU rRNA
Rfam family: Bacterial small subunit ribosomal RNA
Source: RNAcentral